GUGCUAAUACAUGCAAGUCGAACGCUUCUUUUCCCACCGGAGCUUGCUCCACCGGGAAAAGAGGAGUGGCGAACGGGUGAGUAACACGUGGGUAACCUGCCCAUCAGAAGGGGAUAACACUUGGAAACAGGUGCUAAUACCGUAUAACAAUCGAAACCGCAUGGUUUCGUUUUGAAAGGCGCUUUACGGUGCCGCUGAUGGAUGGACCCGCGGUGCAUUAGCUAGUUGGUGAGGUAACGGCUCACCAAGGCCACGAUGCAUAGCCGACCUGAGAGGGUGAUCGGCCACAUUGGGACUGAGACACGGCCCAAACUCCUACGGGAGGCAGCAGUAGGGAAUCUUCGGCAAUGGACGAAAGUCUGACCGAGCAACGCCGCGUGAGUGAAGAAGGUUUUCGGAUCGUAAAACUCUGUUGUUAGAGAAGAACAAGGGUGAGAGUAACUGUUCACCCCUUGACGGUAUCUAACCAGAAAGCCACGGCUAACUACGUGCCAGCAGCCGCGGUAAUACGUAGGUGGCAAGCGUUGUCCGGAUUUAUUGGGCGUAAAGCGAGCGCAGGCGGUUUCUUAAGUCUGAUGUGAAAGCCCCCGGCUCAACCGGGGAGGGUCAUUGGAAACUGGGAGACUUGAGUGCAGAAGAGGAGAGUGGAAUUCCAUGUGUAGCGGUGAAAUGCGUAGAUAUAUGGAGGAACACCAGUGGCGAAGGCGGCUCUCUGGUCUGUAACUGACGCUGAGGCUCGAAAGCGUGGGGAGCAAACAGGAUUAGAUACCCUGGUAGUCCACGCCGUAAACGAUGAGUGCUAAGUGUUGGAGGGUUUCCGCCCUUCAGUGCUGCAGCUAACGCAUUAAGCACUCCGCCUGGGGAGUACGACCGCAAGGUUGAAACUCAAAGGAAUUGACGGGGGCCCGCACAAGCGGUGGAGCAUGUGGUUUAAUUCGAAGCAACGCGAAGAACCUUACCAGGUCUUGACAUCCUUUGACCACUCUAGAGAUAGAGCUUCCCCUUCGGGGGCAAAGUGACAGGUGGUGCAUGGUUGUCGUCAGCUCGUGUCGUGAGAUGUUGGGUUAAGUCCCGCAACGAGCGCAACCCUUAUUGUUAGUUGCCAUCAUUUAGUUGGGCACUCUAGCAAGACUGCCGGUGACAAACCGGAGGAAGGUGGGGAUGACGUCAAAUCAUCAUGCCCCUUAUGACCUGGGCUACACACGUGCUACAAUGGGAAGUACAACGAGUCGCGAAGUCGCGAGGCUAAGCUAAUCUCUUAAAGCUUCUCUCAGUUCGGAUUGUAGGCUGCAACUCGCCUACAUGAAGCCGGAAUCGCUAGUAAUCGCGGAUCAGCACGCCGCGGUGAAUACGUUCCCGGGCCUUGUACACACCGCCCGUCACACCACGAGAGUUUGUAACACCCGAAGUCGGUGAGGUAACCUUUUGGAGCCAGCCGCCUAACGU
RNAcentral lists this ribosomal RNA (1446 nucleotides) under Enterococcus sp. Fd-2006. RNAcentral describes it as "bacterial SSU rRNA". It matches the Rfam family "Bacterial small subunit ribosomal RNA". Lineage: Bacteria; Bacillati; Bacillota; Bacilli; Lactobacillales; Enterococcaceae. The record is from RNAcentral.